RNA transcript from Magnolia sinica, 594 nucleotides. It is a transcript of the gene named eukaryotic translation initiation factor 2A-like, with no coding region annotated. The record is from RefSeq and is a predicted model, not a curated record. The transcript is spliced from 2 exons. NCBI's taxonomy places the organism in Eukaryota, Viridiplantae, Streptophyta, Magnoliopsida, Magnoliales, Magnoliaceae.
UUCAAAAUGCUAUUAUAUCAAUCUCAAGUUGGACUCAAGAAGAACUUAAUUGCAAUUUGGAGGCUGCUUGCUUGUUAUGAAUACAAUGAAACAUCAUUCAUUCUUGUCAUUUCUUCUUUAUUGAAAUGAGCAAAACAGGGAAUUCCAGCUAGUGUCCAGAUUUUUUCCUGUGACAAGGAUGCACAGGCUCAGCCUGUUGCUUGGCGAAGUUUUUUCCGGUGCUCCACUAUGCAACUGCACUGGAACUAUGGUGCAACAGGACUUCUAACAGUGGCACAAUCUGAUGUUGAUAAAACCAACCAGAGUUACUAUGGUGAAUCGAAGCUGAAUUACCUGACAAUUGAUGGGAGCCAUGAAGGACUUGUGCCUCUACGUAUGAUUUUCAAGUUAAUUGGCUGACCUUAUUAAUCUUUCUUUGUUUGCAUUUGCAAGUGAAAUUGCUGAUUUUAUAGAUCGGUUGUAGGUAAAGAAGGGCCUAUUCAUGAUUAGUGGGUCUUUGGCCAGUUUAUUUUUAUGUGCAAUCUUGCAUUUAAGCAUGUAGCAAGCUGGUUGUGUGCAUGUUUAUGCAAAAUCAUCAUGCCAUUAUUUUUAGUC